Molecule: long non-coding RNA, 1301 nt
Organism: Hemicordylus capensis (graceful crag lizard)
Lineage: Eukaryota; Metazoa; Chordata; Lepidosauria; Squamata; Cordylidae
Exons: 3
Source: RefSeq, a predicted model, not a curated record
UGCGCGCAGUGCUGGUCCUCCUGGCGUGAGCGGUUCGCUCGUCUCCCACGCUCAAGCGCCCACGCUUUUCCUUCCCUUCAUUCCGCUCUCUGGAAAGAGUUGCGGAUGAGCGGAGAAAUCCUGCUUUUUUUAAUUUCAAAAAUUUGAUCAUCAGCAGCAAGAGCCUCUUAUCAAUCAAGAUGCUACGGAGCCUGGACCAUAGGCAUACUCCAGAGAUUGAAUCGAACGUGGCUUUAAAGUCUAUGAAAGUUUGCUUGCUGACAGAAAAGGGGAGCUGAGAAAGUUAAAGAAAAAACAAGAUGGAGGGGAAAUCUUACAGAAAGAAAACAUCUUGUUGGUGUCCAAAUCUUGCUUACUGUGUCCUUCUUGCCAGGAACAAGAUACAAAACUCUUGUUAACAUUCAAUAUGCAAGUCCCAAGAAUCCUCCUAAAGAGAAAUGUAUGGCAAGUGCAAAUGUGUAAUUCUGUGACAAAUGUUUACCAAGGAUGUCAUUGGAAACCAGGCCACACCCACAUAGCCUGGGGGCAGUUCAACCAACCAAGACCAUCUUCUGACAGCAUAGUUAGAUUCCUGUGAUAGGUGCCUAUAGGCAGCUGUACAUGCAAGCAACCAGUAGGGAAACAUCACCAGACCUGAAUAAACUAGGUAUCCGUCUAAGAUGGAUGCAGAUUACUGUGGAGAUAGAGUAGGUCAGAUCCUUGCUACCAACACUUUCUGUUUCUAUCAACCAAUGAUGACAUCUAGUGUUGGCAGGCCCCCAAAUAGCAAUUUCAUUCUGGGCUUGGAAGUAGACAUAGAAAAAGAAAUGAGAGCCGAGCCAUUUAUGAUACACUUUAAAGUUUCUAAUGAAGAGAUCCUGGGGAAUAUGCAAAAGACAAUUGUUCCCAUGGCAAUUGCUACAAAUCAGCUUGAAAAAGACAGGAUGGCAUGGGAGAAAACAAUGGAAUUCAACAAGUUGGCAAUGACCUCAUAAGGAGUAAAUGAACAAAGGUUGGCAAUUCCAGGCUAAAUGGUGGGUAUGAAAGCAGCCUAAAACAUUCCUGAUUCAUGUCCCUCUUAGUCAAAUGCAUUCCGUAAGUUAAUUAUGUAUUCUCUGAAGAAGUACUUUGUUCACACAAUGCACAAUUAACAUCAAAUUUGUUGGUAUAGGAUGUAGUAAUAGUUACUGGCUUAGACAGACUUAAAAUGGAAUUAGACAACUAAAUGGAUCUAUCAACAGCUAUUAUCCAGGAUUAUUAACUGAGUCUUCCAUGGGUAGAUUCAGCAUUUGUCUGAAUACCGGUUGCAGGUAGACAAAUAU